UAGGCCAUGUUUGAUAUCCUCUUAUAGGCUGUAUUAGCAAAUGCAUCUAGCAAUAUAUGUGUGUUUGAAAUCCUAGGUACAAAUUACAAAUGGUCCGGGAAAAUGCAUAAGCUCGGCCAUAUAUUACUGUAAACUCCGGAAAACGCAACUGGUACCCCCCCAUCUGAUACGUUUUCCAUACUUGUAAAAUGACUUCCAAUAUCCAAAUUUGCCCUCAUUUUUGAAACACAAAAAUUCGUCAACAUAGAAAUUUCCUCCACAUUUGUGAUUCUCUGCGUCUUUCUCCUCAAACUCAGCGAAGAACCCUAUAUUUGCAGAAUUAACACACGGUAAGUACGAAUAUCGCAACCACAGCUUGAAUCACCGAAUCCAUGUUCGUAUUCUUUUUUCUUUUGGAUUCGUAUUAGCGUGCCUUUGUUACAUUGAAACUUGCUUCCACUAGGAUUUUCGACUUGUACAAAAUGUUGGGGGGAGAUGUGUUUUCUGGAUUUCAUUUUUUUAAGGGUUGAAUCAUACAGUUUAUAUUUUGAUUCUGGGCAAAAUUAUUGUUGGGCUUCGAACAAUUAUCAAAGCAUGUUAUUUCUAUAUCUUUUUAACGCAUUUUGCUCGGUUCAUAUCUAUCGAGUUGUUGUUGUUCUAGUCCGAUACCAAAUUGUUUUCUGUUAUAUUGUUUUCAUAUCUAUCGAGUUGCUGCUGCUUUUCCCCUUCUUCAAAAUGGGUCAUAUUAUAUUUUGCGUGGAUUGUUUUGGGCAGGGGUCCCAUAGAAACGGAAUAGAGUUAGACAUUAUUAAUUUCACUCUACAAACCUCAUGCUGCUAGUCUAGUUUAUUCGAGCACGUCGUUUUUAUCUUCAUUUAAAUUGCUGCUGAUUAUGUAUUAAAUAUGUUGUUGAAGUAUUAGGUCUUUGAGCAUAUUUUCACAUUUCCUUGUUUUGAUAGUUGAAGCACCAGUAGCCAGCAGAUCAAGGGACAACAUCCACCAUCCCAUAAUAGAGUAUUGGAUAACAAAUCAAGGCA
Molecule: long non-coding RNA, 1016 nt
Filed under: Salvia miltiorrhiza (redroot sage)
Lineage: Eukaryota; Viridiplantae; Streptophyta; Magnoliopsida; Lamiales; Lamiaceae
Description: long non-coding RNA (SMIL_LNC007315)
Source: RNAcentral